UCCGGUUUGUCACCGGCAGUCCCAUUAGAGUGCCCAACUAAAUGUAGCAACUAAUGGCAAGGGUUGCGCUCGUUGCGGGACUUAACCCAACAUCUCACGACACGAGCUGACGACAGCCAUGCAGCACCUGUGUUCCCGUUCCCUUUCGGGCACACCCGGGUUUCCCCAGGCUCCAGGACAUGUCAAGGGUAGGUAAGGUUUUUCGCGUUGCAUCGAAUUAAUCCACAUAAUCCACCGCUUGUGCGGGUCCCCGUCAAUUCCUUUGAGUUUUAACCUUGCGGCCGUACUCCCCAGGCGGGAUGCUUAAUGCGUUAGCUUCGGCACGGACGGAGUCUACACCGCCCACACCUAGCAUCCAUCGUUUAGGGCUAGGACUAC
Molecule: unclassified non-coding RNA, 378 nt
Filed under: uncultured Gammaproteobacteria bacterium
Lineage: Bacteria; Pseudomonadati; Pseudomonadota; Gammaproteobacteria
Description: contains 16S-23S intergenic spacer region
Source: RNAcentral